UCCGCGUGCUCGGGAUAUUAGUUGGGUUCGUUACCUCUGAGCCACAAUGGGAACUUCCUAUUCUUGUAGUAAUUUCUAAUGGUGAUUCCCAAUUAGAAUAUUAACAGAGCUUUUAGGGAAUUGGAUAAGAAGCCCUUAAAAUCCAUAUGAGGUCUAGAUGCCAAAGAAUAUGCUAUGAAUAAAGCCUCUGUAAGCAAAUAAAUGAAAGCUCUGAAAUCACCUAAAUAUGGUUAGAAUAGAAUUAAACAAGGAGAUCAAAACAAUAAAAUAGAGAAUUAAGAAAUUGUUCCCAGUAUGUACUUUAAAUUUCUGAUAAAAGUAGGAUCUGAAUUCAACAUGGAAAGUUAAUAAAGUAAAUAAACAAUGUUAGCUCCACUUUUAUCCAUAUAGAGGAAUGUUAAGCUGACAGUCUAUCUCGUACCAUAAACAAAAAUAAAUUUCAGAUUGAUUAAAGUCUUUUGAGAAACAAAUACAAACAUCAGAAGAAAAUAUUCAUUUUGUACAAUUUGCUAUUCAACGGUGAGAGACUAAAACCACGUCAGGAAAUUUAUAUAUAAAAGAAAUGUUAGACUUUUUUGACCUCAAAAAAAUUAUACUACAUAUAGUAAAGAAUACUAUAAUUAAAAGAGGAGCAGAUUUGGAAAAAAUAUUUUCAAAGAAGCUGAAAGAUAAAGGGUCAAUAAAAUUUCAUAAGAUUAUAUCUUAUAAACAGACAAGAAAAAGACAAGUGUUCCAAUGAAAAAUAGGAUGUGAACAAUUAGUUCACAGUAAAGUAAAUUCAUUGAAUCUAUGGAAAGAUUCUGAGACUCAGUAGGGAAAUAGUAAAGUCAUAAUGAGCUCAUCACAUUCAUCAGUCUGACCAAAAACUAAAAUGAGCAAUAAAUAUUUCUUCCUAGAAAGAGAUGGAGAGAGGAGACAAGGUAUUCAUAAAUUAGGGUGGGACUGCAAAAUGUUGCAAUGUUUUGGGAAAGCAAUAUGGCAACAUCAAUUACACUGAAAAAAAAUAUCAUUUGACCUAGCAGUUAGUUCCGCUGCUGGAAAUAGUUUCCACAAAUGGGAAUAUAUAGGAGAUAUGCUGGAAAGUGAAGGCACAGCAGUAUGAGACCAAUUGAAUAUUUUAAGACACCUCCACCAUGUAGAAUAUUAGGCAGUCAUAAAAAAUAGUGCAAUACCAAUUGACCUAGAAAGAUUUUAGGAGGAACUGUUGAGUAAGAAGAUCAAUUGGCUGAAAAUAAUGAUAAUGUCAUUACCUUAUUGUAAAACAGUGACAACUCUCCUUUAAUAAGGGAAUGCAUACGUGUGUUUGGGUAGAUCAUUAUAGACAGAUUUCAUUGACACUCCUAGUUGUUAACCUGAAUCAUGCACUGGGCACUGGCCCAAGCCAGACAAAUAGACAAACGAUUGUGCUAUCCCAUCCAGCCAGUAUAAUUCAACUUCUACAGAAAUUACAAAAAAAAAUCCAUCUGUACUGACUUACAGAUGAUCUAUGUCAAGUAAAGAAGAAGAAAUAAAAGCAAGUUGCCAAGCAAUCCAUAUAGUAUGUUUCUAGUUUGGUGAAAACCACAAACAGAGCCCUGAGUGUGCCUAAGUGAUUGUGGAUGUUUGAAGGAAUAACAUAACAGCUGUUAUCAUCCCCUCCUGGAGCUCAGUGGGGCUGGGCAGGAGGGGGAUGCAAGGAGACGACUAGCUUUCUUUUUAUACAUCUUUGCACUGUUUCACACGUUCUGUUUACAUUGUUAUAAAACAUCUUAAAAAUGGUAAAUUUAGGAGUUCCUAUUGUGGCUCACUGGGUUAAGAACCCUACUAAUAUCCAUGAGGAUGAGGGUUCGAUCCCUGGCCCCGAUCAGUGGGUUAAGGAUCUGGCGUUGCUGCGAGCUGUGGUGUAGGGAAUGGGAAGCAAUGAACUUUAUCUUGAACAGGUACAGUAGUUGGAGCUUAUAAUUUAAUUGGUAAGAGAAGGCAUACUUAUAAAAAGACGAUGUCACUUGUUAAUUUAACAAUCAUUUAUGGAACAUCAACUCUGCCACAGUGGGCUGCAUGCUUAGGAUAAAGCAGUGAACAUCUAGGAACUCCCUGACUUGACAGAGCUUCAUGUCCAGUGUGGGAUACAGACAUUAUUUAAUUAUUUAAAUAGUCCCCCAAAUUAAUAGGACUGAGGUGAAGUGACUGAGGCACUUGCCUUGAGUGUAUAAUUUAAGGCAGCUCAAAAAACUCAGCUAUGAAGAUAAAUAAUAUUUUAAUGCAAACUUAGAAAAAUCAAAAUUAAAGAUCUAUGAUGAAUAAAAUAUCAUAUUUCAUAUAAAGACAGACUGAUUUUUUUUUGCGUUGCUCAGAUAUGGCUCCACAUGGCAUGGCCACAAAUCAUUUUACUGGAAGAGUUAAAGGGUGGGCAGGGGCCGGAUGAUAUAUAUUUGUGUUGGGUGGGAUCAUCUUUUUCCCUUAUUCCUGAAUUAUUAACACUUAAACUGGGACUGGAAGUAUGAGAAGAAGCUGGAAGAAGAAGAGAGGGUUUAAGUGACAGGUUGGGUCCAUGCGAGAGGCAGGAAACAGCUUUGCACCGUUGAGGGAACCAAAAGAUGCUUCACGUGUCCAGACCCAUGGUUCUCAAACUUAAUGCAUGUUAUAAGCACCACCUGGAAAGCAUUUAGGUCUCACUUCUCAGGCCUUACCCAGGCCAACUCAAUAAAAAUCUCUAGGGGUGGGGCUAAGACCUGGGUGGUUUUAAAACUUUCAAGGAGGUUCUGAUGUGCAUCCUGGGUUGGGACGUGGUAGACGAUGACGAAGUGAAUGAGGACGACGAGACUGGAGGGGGACGUGGGAGCUUGCCUGGAGGCCUAGGAAGCCAGGGUAAUUAUUUUGGACUUUUUUCAAAGAUCACCCUGGCUGCUGUGAUGAGAAUAGACUGAAAGAGCUUUGGAUGCCACAGGAAGGUGUGGAGGUGGAAGGUCAUUGCAAACAUCCAGGUGGUCGUGGUAGUGCACUGCCCAGAUGGCCUUCUAGGAAGAAUGUGCUGACCUGAGUGCUGGGAGUGUGGGCAGCAGGCGGCCUUCAGCUGCCUGUCCUUCAGUGUCUGCUUUAGUUGCAGGGAACAGCCUCCGCCAAGGUCAUGUGCACAGCCCCUGAUGGUGGAGGCAUUGCUUUUCCAACCACUUUAUGCUAACCCGGAAAACCUGGGAUUUGUGGAGUGUCUAAUAGGAGCUAACAAACUCCUAUUAGGAAGACUUGGGCCGGUACUGGAAUUAGAAUGAAGAAUGCAGCCCUUCAUCCGGAGAUAAGUUAAGGCACUGAAUUUGAUGGAUUCUAUGUUAUCUGAACCAUUGGUAAUGGACUGAGGUAUUUCUCAGAUUAACUCAGCAAGACACCAGCAGAGCUGGGUGCCUCUGGGAUCCUGGGUCUGCUAUCAACUAGCUGUGCAAAAUGCUGCUUAACUGUGAUGGGUUCCAUCUCCUCACCUGUAAAAUGAGAGGCAACUCAUCCUGAGCUGGUGACUGUGGUUCUCAUCUAUGUUUGUAUAUGUUAGCAACAGAGGAUAUUUGCGUGUGAAACUUCUCCAUGAAAACAGGGAUCAUUUUUGUCCUUCUAUUUUUUUCUCCACUGCUGAAUCCUUGGUAUUAGACUUGUGCUUAACACACAGAAGAACACAGGCUUUACGGGGUCAGGAACUUCAUUUAGUUCAUUCACUGUUGUAUCCCUGGAAUGCUGCCUGGCAUAGAAAAACUUGAAGCAUAAGGAGGACUAGAAAUAAUUUUGCCUUGGUGAAAUGAGUGAAGUUCAAGGUAUGAGGACAGCUGGAACAACACCCAGUGAAACUCUGCCCUGGAUGAACCCAGUGCAAGAAUCGGUGAGCAUCAUGUCUUGGAAGGAACUCCCUCGUUCAAGCACUAGGAUCGCUCCUCACCAAAUCCCCAACGCUGGAUAUAUACCAGGAGAAAAGAGCCAGGAAUGUCUAGGUGGAGAUGGAGAUCUCCAGGAGUAAGGAGAGGCUUAUACCUGAUGAUGCACCACUGCAACUGGAGUCUGCUGGUCUGGAAGCUUCUUGACCCACUGGAGAGAUACUUCCACUGAAGGACAUGAUAAAAUCCUACAGAACUGGGACUGCCACUGGUGACGUAAUAAGUGCUGAGGCUCCAGGGUCUUGGCAAAGGAGCUUGAUGUUGAUGUUGAGGUAUAUUGGUGGCAGUUAUGUUCACCAUUUGCCCCGAGUUUGCAAAGUGGUGAGGAAUAACCUCUAGCAAGAGUAGCAGAGGGAACACAAGAGGAGUAUCAUCGAGAGAUCAUGGAUUCGAUGCUGAGAAACAAGUUUGUAAAUAGCUACACAACACAGUAUCUGCAGGAUGCACGCCUUUGGUUGUGUCCCUGCUGGGAGCAGUGCAAUUACUGAAACAUCAUCUCCAUCUUUUGGGGAGUGGUCUUCAGAUGGCCUCCAGUGAAUGAUUCCUCCUGGUAUUAAUGUUCUGUGCAGUGGCUCCGUUACUGAAUUUUGGCUUACCUUUGACCUACAUAAAAUGGGCAGAAGUAACCAUACCAGUUUAGGUCCUAAGCCUUAAGAAAGACCAACGCCUUUUAUCUUUGUGCUCUUGGAAGCUAGCUACCCUGUAAGAAGUUUGGCUAUGCUGCUGGCAAGGAAAGACCCUGGGGGAUGAGAUGCCCUGUGGAGGAGAGCCAAGACGUCACCUCUGUGACUGCAGAAGCCCUCUUGGAUGUCCUGCCCAUGGAGGACUGCUGUCCAGAGUACUCCAGCCCCAGCUACUCACUGACUGCAACUGCAAGAGAGAUUACAAACAAAACAAACAGAAGAACCACCCAUCUGUGCCCAGUCAGCACAGAGAAUCAUAAGAGAUGAGUAAACUUUUUGUAAGCUACAAAAUUUGAGUGAUUUGUUAUACAGUAAUAAUUAACUUGGAACAAAGCAUUUGAAAAUAUUUCCAAAAAUAAAACCGGUAUAACUUGUGCUGAGGAUGGAAGGAAUAGAGCCUUUGUUUAUCCUGGCACUAUUAAUACUGUUCUGGAUUUAAUUUACAUUAGCUACCACAUCAUUGGAUUGAAUGUGUAGCCAACUAUAAAUUCCUGGCAUUUGUCACAGGAUGGGUAUUUGGCAACUUCUCUCCAAUGUCUUUCUAAGUGGUAUUAUGGACCUAAAUAAAGGACUUCUUCCCCACCCCUCCUGCUACCCUACGCCUUGGUAAUUUUCAUCUUGUCUGUUGUGAUUCAUCAUUCCAGCUUGAUGAGAUUUUUAGAAAAAAAUUUAGUUCUGUCCUCGAAUAAUUAUCCCUUGUGUCCUUGGCAAUUUGACAAACAUAUUCAUAUUUUAUCAAAAUCAUUGAUAAAAAUCAAUGAAUAGCUU
This is a non-coding RNA of Sus scrofa (pig), 5344 nucleotides long. The record is from RefSeq and is a predicted model, not a curated record. NCBI's taxonomy places the organism in Eukaryota, Metazoa, Chordata, Mammalia, Artiodactyla, Suidae.